GCCGGGCAUGGUGGUGCAUGCCUGUAAUCCCAGCAGCUUGGGAGGCUGAAGCAGGAGGAUUGCGAGUUCAAAGCCAGCCUCAGCAACUUAACAAGGCCCUAAGCAACUCAGUGAGACCCUGUCUCUA
Molecule: small RNA, 127 nt
Filed under: Marmota monax (woodchuck)
Lineage: Eukaryota; Metazoa; Chordata; Mammalia; Rodentia; Sciuridae
Source: RNAcentral